This is a long non-coding RNA of Dipodomys spectabilis (banner-tailed kangaroo rat), 460 nucleotides long. RefSeq lists it as uncharacterized. NCBI's taxonomy places the organism in Eukaryota, Metazoa, Chordata, Mammalia, Rodentia, Heteromyidae. The transcript has 2 exons. The record is from RefSeq and is a predicted model, not a curated record.
CUUGGUGGUUGCGGGUUGCUGGUACCUACCCGAGCUUCGUCCGUCACCCGCGACGGCUCGGCUCCGAGCCCUGGAUGUCCUGAGAAGCCCGGAGUCAGGCUCACUCACUCCGCGGCGAAUGGACCUUAUUCACAGCACCGCUCUCCUCUCCGUCCUCUCUCCAUCCUCGGCACCGGCCCCCUGGAUGACCACCAACACAGACCCAGCAUUUCUCCGUGAUGUGUGUCCAAGAGAAUGGCUACACAAGACCUUGUAGGCAGAUGUACACAGCAGCAUAUUCACAAGGAAAAGGGGUUGGGGAGAGAACCAAGGCAGUGCCCAUUGAUUCAUGAAUAGAUUAGCAAAUUAUGGUUUCUCUGUGCAAUGUUCCUAAAAUAGGAUUCGAACUCAAGCGUUAAGCCAGACUCCAGCCCUUCUUUACACUGGUUAUUUUAAAUAAAGGGUCUUGCUUCUUUCCCCA